Molecule: ribosomal RNA, 274 nt
Filed under: uncultured bacterium
Lineage: Bacteria
Description: partial 16S ribosomal RNA
Rfam family: Bacterial small subunit ribosomal RNA
Source: RNAcentral
AUACGGAGGGUGCAAGCGUUAAUCGGAAUUACUGGGCGUAAAGCGUACGUAGGCGGUUAGUUAAGUUAGAUGUGAAAGCCCCGGGCUUAACCUGGGAACUGCAUUUAAAACUGGCUAACUAGAGUUAAUUAGAGGGGAGUGGAAUUUCAGGUGUAGCGGUGAAAUGCGUAGAGAUCUGAAGGAACACCAGUGGCGAAGGCGACUCCCUGGACUUGAACUGACGCUGAGGUACGAAAGCGUGGGUAGCAAACGGGAUUAGAUACCCUAGUAGUCC